This 458-nucleotide ribosomal RNA is filed under the name uncultured Thiobacillus sp. Its description in RNAcentral is "bacterial SSU rRNA". It matches the Rfam family "Bacterial small subunit ribosomal RNA", at positions 923 to 1382 of the family's 1533-position model. Lineage: Bacteria; Pseudomonadati; Pseudomonadota; Betaproteobacteria; Nitrosomonadales; Thiobacillaceae. The record is from RNAcentral.
GCACAAGCGGUGGAUGAUGUGGAUUAAUUCGAUGCAACGCGAAAACCUUACCUACCCUUGACAUGCUAGGAACUUGCCAGAGAUGGCUUGGUGCCCGAAAGGAACCUAGACACAGGUGCUGCAUGGCUGUCGUCAGCUCGCGUCGUGAGAUGUUGGGUUAAGUCCCGCAACGAGCGCAACCCUUGUCAUUAAUUGCCAUCAUUCAGUUGGGCACUUUAAUGAGACUGCCGGUGACAAACCGGAGGAAGGUGGGGAUGACGUCAAGUCCUCAUGGCCCUUAUGGGUAGGGCUUCACACGUAAUACAAUGGUCGGUACAGAGGGUUGCCAACCCGCGAGGGGGAGCCAAUCCCAGAAAACCGAUCGUAGUCCGGAUUGUAGUCUGCAACUCGACUGCAUGAAGUCGGAAUCGCUAGUAAUCGCGGAUCAGCAUGUCGCGGUGAAUACGUUCCCGGGCCUU